AUUGAACGCUGGCGGCAGGCCUAACACAUGCAAGUCGAGCGGAUGAAGGGAGCUUGCUCCUGGAUUCAGCGGCGGACGGGUGAGUAAUGCCUAGGAAUCUGCCUGGUAGUGGGGGAUAACGUCCGGAAACGGGCGCUAAUACCGCAUACGUCCUGAUGGUGAAAGUGGGGGAUCUUCGGACCUCACGCUAUCAGAUGAGCCUAGGUCGGAUUAGCUAGUUGGUAGGGUAAAGGCCUACCAAGGCGACGAUCCGAAACUGGUCUGAGAGGAUGAUCAGUCACACUGGAACUGAGACACGGUCCAGACUCCUACGGGAGGCAGCAGUGGGGAAUAUUGGACAAUGGGCGAAAGCCUGAUCCAGCCAUGCCGCGUGUGUGAAGAAGGUCUUCGGAUUGUAAAGCACUUUAAGUUGGGAGGAAGGGCAGUAAGUUAAUACCUUGCUGUUUUGACGGUACCAACAGAAUAAGCACCGGCUAACUUCGUG
Molecule: ribosomal RNA, 484 nt
Filed under: uncultured bacterium
Lineage: Bacteria
Description: partial 16S ribosomal RNA
Rfam family: Bacterial small subunit ribosomal RNA
Source: RNAcentral